CUCCUACGGGAGGCAGCAGUAGGGAAUCUUCCGCAAUGGACGAAAGUCUGACGGAGCAACGCCGCGUGAGUGAUGAAGGUUUUCGGAUCGUAAAACUCUGUUGUUAGGGAAGAACAAGUACUAGAGUAACUGCUAGUACCUUGACGGUACCUAACCAGAAAGCCACGGCUAACUACGUGCCAGCAGCCGCGGUAAUACGUAGGUGGCAAGCGUUGUCCGGAAUUAUUGGGCGUAAAGCGCGCGCAGGCGGUCCUUUAAGUCUGAUGUGAAAGCCCACGGCUCAACCGUGGAGGGUCAUUGGAAACUGGGGGACUUGAGUACAGAAGAGAAGAGUGGAAUUCCACGUGUAGCGGUGAAAUGCGUAGAGAUGUGGAGGAACACCAGUGGCGAAGGCGACUCUUUGGUCUGUAACUGACGCUGAGGCGCGAAAGCGUGGGGAGCAAACAGGAUUAGAUACCCUGGUAGUCCACGCUGUAAACGAUGAGUGCUAAGUGUUAGAGGGUUUCCGCCCUUUAGUGCUGCAGCUAACGCAUUAAGCACUCCGCCUGGGGAGUACGGCCGCAAGGCUGAAACUCAAAGGAAUUGACGG
This 589-nucleotide ribosomal RNA is filed under the name uncultured bacterium. Its description in RNAcentral is "bacterial SSU rRNA". It matches the Rfam family "Bacterial small subunit ribosomal RNA", at positions 336 to 916 of the family's 1533-position model. The record is from RNAcentral.